CCAGCCAGGUCUAGGAAGUGCUCCAGACAGUGCUCCAGACAGACUAGGAAGCUGCUACAGGACUCUGACCCUCUUGUAAAACUGGGGAAACUGAGGCCGUAAUACUGACGCUAGCUGUUCUGGAAAAGUGCACCGUCUCCAUGGAAACCGCGGAGGAGGUCACGGUAGCUGGGCCCCCUCGCGUCACCCCGAGCCUCGCCGGCUGCAGGCGCCGGGAUUGCGGCCUCCCAGGCGCCUCGGCCCGCGUGGACUCUACUCUGAGUUCCCCGCCCCCGCUCCACUCAGCCCGCGGCUCAGACCAUAUGACUCUGCCGGGUCCUAACCGGGAAGGGCGCACCUGGGCACCAGUGCGCUAGGCUAUGCCUCUGUCCCCAGGCUUUGGCACGAGGGAGUGCGCCAAGAUACACGUGCCCAGCUCCAAGACUAGAACACGUGCAGCGAGACGCCACCAAGGGGCUCACGGAACUAGUGAAUGCCCUGUGCGAUCGACCUAUAUAGGUGCACCACUCCAGACCUCUUGCUAAAACAAGACCACCCGUAAAGAACCUGGAGUCCCGCCUAGGUAUCUUGCUAGCUGUGUGACUUCGGGCAAGUCGCAACCUCUCUGCGUCUCACCUUGCUCAUCAGCAAAAUGGAAUUGUCGCGUGGCUUGAGAAAAAGUACGUUAAACGUUUAACACUAUGUUUGGCACGUGGUUCUGAAAAAUGGUAGCUGUCACUAGGGUUAUUUUUUACAGACUGCAAAAGCCGAGGCCCAAAAAGCGUGGCUCAAGGGCGCGGUCAGCCCAAAGGCCGAGUUACACCUUGGGAGCUUCCCAGCAUCUUAGCCUAGUCUCAGGCCGGAGGUUGAGGGGACACGUGCCUGCUUUGCUGAGCCUGGGCCUGCCUGGGGCGCGACGGGCGGGACCUCCUAGCCAGCCACAUCCGCACCCGGAACCCUGGAGACGGGACUCCCCGCAGUGCGCGCCCCACCCCCCUCCUGCCCCAGCACUAUUAGCAACGGGCCUGCCUGCCCUCCCUCCCUCCCAGGGCUGAGGCCGCACCUGCCCCACCGGAUGGCCGCCCCGGGGCCAGGCCGUGCCCCCCACCGCGCACACUUCCUCCCGGACCCCCAGCGCCCCGCUGAGCACGCAGGGAGGAGGGGACCCGGCCGCCCCCGCCCAGCCAGCUUCCCACAGCCCGAGCAGCCCGGAGCCGAGGAGGCAGGAAGUCUCAGAGCCGGGGCGUGGAGGCGGGGUAGGGGCAGGAAGUUGGGGGUGACUCUCCCAGAGACCCUAGACAGGCCCCGGCGUGGGAGCGGGAUGGGCGGGCGCGUAGGGAUUAAGGGCGCGCCCCCACCCCCGCCUCUGUAGCCUUAGACCACGUGAUCCCGGCCGGAGCGCCCCGCUGGGUGAGGGCGAAGGCCGCUACCUCUGGCGACCCCCAGCAGCGCGCACUAGGAGGGAGGGGCAGCCUUUGUCUACUUUGCCGCAGAAGCAGCCCCCCACAACCCCUCCCCCACGCGCCCGGCCGGGCCCUGCACAGCCCGGGUUUUCCAUCCGGCCCGGCUCGGCUCGGCAGCUGUCAGGGGACCGAGCUGACCUUCGCAAGCAGGGAGUUUCAAUUAGCCGCAGAUCAGAUAAGCGGGCGGGCCAGUCUCUCCGGGCACCGCGGGGGCGCAGCCCCGCCCCCGCCACGCCGCGCCAAACGCGCUCCAGAUGGGAACAAAGAUGGGGACGCAGCUCCACCUGCCUCCCCGGGGAGGGGGGAACUGGAGGCCCCGCCGAGAGGAGCUUCCCAACGGAGGAAGGGGUUGCGCACCCUCCCCAGCCCGUCUAGGCUCUCAUUCGGGGCUGGGGUCUAGUCAAAACGAUCCUUGCAACUCUCCUUGCCUCCUGCACAGCGGAGAGGUGCCUGCCACGCUGACCUCAUCUCCAGGCGGGCAUCGAGCCCUCCCACCCCCGGAGGAACGCUUUUGCCAUCUCUGAUCUCAUCCGGAGCUCUCCCUGGGAGGCAGAGAGGAGACAAGAGCCCAACAGAGAAAGGAACCUGAGGUAGAGAAGGGCUGGACUUCUUGAUCCAGAUCACACCAACCACAACAUUCUUUCAGAUGUUUAUCUAGUGCGUACUAAGUACCAGGCGCAGUUUAGACCAUGGGGACAUCAGCCUCUUAGAGCUUACAUUCUCAUUCAGGGAGACAGACCAUAAUCAAGUAAACAAAUAGUUGAACAGAAUCAUUUCGGAGAUUCUAAAGAGCCAUAAGAUACUAAAACAGGCCACGUGAGACUGGAUUUCAGGGAGGUGACGUGUUAUGGUAGUCAGGGAGGGCCUCUCUGAGGAGGUGACAUCUGAACUGAAGCCUGAAAGACCAGAAGGAACCAGUCAAGCAAAGGAGAGGGUGUGGAGCAUGCCACUGUGGACGUGACUUUUGGUUCAAAGGGGAAGCAGACAGGACAGGGCUUUGCAGACCAGGUGUGGCAUCAGGGUUUAUGAAAAGUGCAGUGGGAGCCUUUGGUGGGUUCUAAGCUGGGAGUGACAUGGUCUGACUUACAUUUUUAAAGAUCCCUCUGGCUACUGUAUAGAUCAGAGGAAGGCAGAGGGAUAAGAG
Molecule: long non-coding RNA, 2586 nt
Organism: Bos taurus (domestic cattle)
Lineage: Eukaryota; Metazoa; Chordata; Mammalia; Artiodactyla; Bovidae
Source: Ensembl